Long non-coding RNA from Siniperca chuatsi (mandarin fish), 1188 nucleotides. RefSeq lists it as uncharacterized. NCBI's taxonomy places the organism in Eukaryota, Metazoa, Chordata, Actinopteri, Centrarchiformes, Sinipercidae. The record is from RefSeq and is a predicted model, not a curated record. The transcript has 2 exons.
CUGAAAUUACAAUGAAGCAAACACCAACACGUUCACAAUCGACCAUUUACAACGAAUCCAUUUGCAGCGUUAUUAUGUAGAUGGGAGUGUUAUUGAAUGGCUCUUCCCCGCAGUGUUUGGUUUUAUAGCCCUUCCAGAAUAGCCUGUGAAAGCCACAAUUGGGAUGUUUUUCGUCAAGCAGUACAUGUUGUAUUUUCAUUCCAAAAAAAAAAAAAUGAUGGCUUAGUGAGUAAGAGAGAGGAAGAAGAGAAGUGGUAGGCCUCUCUCAGUUUGUUGCUUAUAUACCAAACAAAGAGUCCUGGAAGCCUGCACGCGAUCAAUCUUACUCGCCAAAAGGUCUGACAGCUCGGUGCCCUCACAACACAUUUAAGGCUUCUAACUCUCCCCCGGAUCAAAUGCAGCCAGGAAGCGGCGAGAAACACUGGCCACUCAGAUUAGAACCAGUUUCUGCUCGCAGUUAUAGCCAGGCUGUCGCUGGAGGGAUCUUUUGAAAGAUAAAUAAGAAUCCAGCUAGACAAGAUGCGACCAUUUCCUUUUUGAGGAGGGAGGUAACGAGUCAACGAAUCUCCAUGAAGGGCCCGGGUGACAUUUUUAUUAUUAUGGAUGUGCCCACGCAGAUGAGAAGAGGGGAGAAGGCCACCCGAGAGUUUUUUUCCACGUCGAAUCAAGAGGAGGAGAGAGUAGCAUUUAUUCAGUAUUUGACUUUAUCCCUUUAUGUUAUUGAAUAUUAAAUAUGACCGCUGGUUUCACAUUAUUUUGUAUGCAUAAAUAUUAUACAAAUAUAGAGAUUUUCUAAUUAUCACCCAUGGUUUAUUAUUUAACUACUAACAUUUUAUUGUAUUGGCCUUCUAUUAUAUCUCCAUUUGUCUAAACAUGUAUUUUUUUUCUUUUGUAUUAUCACCUCCACAAUUCUACACCGUCAUGAAAUAUGUAACAACAAUAAUAAAAUGUAAUAAUUGCAAAAGUAGAAAUAUAUUUGGACAUUUUUAUUUAGGAAACGGUCUUGAAUUUAAUUGUGAAAUGCUUCUCAUGUGUCUAAAUUAAAACUACAAGGUUUGCUGCAAUUAUAUUUCAAUUCUUUUAUUUUUUUUUUCUUCGAACUGGAGCAGCAUGGAAUGUAUGCCAUCGAAAAAAAAAACAUUGAUGAUGUCUGUUUCUUUUCUUCAAUAAAGAAACUGUUAAAGUGUG